RNAcentral lists this ribosomal RNA (1344 nucleotides) under Gastrotheca nicefori (Niceforo's marsupial frog). RNAcentral describes it as "partial 16S ribosomal RNA". It matches the Rfam family "Bacterial large subunit ribosomal RNA", at positions 583 to 2522 of the family's 2925-position model. The record is from RNAcentral. Lineage: Eukaryota; Metazoa; Chordata; Amphibia; Anura; Hemiphractidae.
CCGAAAUCCUAGCCCCAUUUUMCCUAAKGAAACCCCCCUUUUCCCCAUAUUAUAAAGAAAACAUUUUAUCUGUUUAGUAUAGGUGAUAGAAAAAUAGAUUGGAGCACACAAAUAGUACCGCAGGGGAAAGAUGAAAUAAAAUGAANCAAAUAUAAGGCACAAAAAAGUAGAGAUAUAACCUCGUACCUUUUGCAUCAGGGUUUACCUAGUCUAAUCAAGCAAAAAGACUUACAGUUGACUUCCCGAAACUAAGCGAGCUACUUCAGGCAGCCUAACGAGCUAACCCGUUUCUGUGGCAAAAGAAUGGAAAGACCUUCAAGUAGAGGUGAUAGACCUAACGAGCUUAGUGAUAGCUGGUUACUCAAGAAAAGGAUUUUAGUCCUACCCAAAAUUAAAAUUAAUUCUAUAAAAUAUUAAUCUAAUUUUGAAGUUAUUCAGAUAAGGUACAGCCUAUCUGAAACAGGAUACAACCUCGACCAACGGGUAAUUUUUUACUUCACCAUAAAGUGGGCCUAAAAGCAGCCACCUUUCAAAUAGCGUCAAAGCUUAUUCGUAAAUUUUAUUAAAAUACCAAUAUUUUUCAACAACCCUUCAUCAGUACUGAGUAAUUCUAUACCUCUAUAGAACUUAUUAUGUUAAAACUAGUAACAAGAAGAAGACCUUCUCUUAAAUGCAUCUGUAAAUCAGAAGGGACACACCACUGAUAAUUAACGUCCAUGAUCUCAAAGUAAAAACUCAACAAGAAAAACUUACUAAUCACAACGUUAACCUAACACAAGAGCAUUCCAAGAAAGAUUAAAAGAAAAAGAAGGAACUCGGCAAAUAUUAACCCCGCCUGUUUACCAAAAACAUCGCCUCUUGAAACACAUAAGANGUCCAGCCUGCCCAGUGACAUCUGUUCAACGGCCGCGGUAUCCUAACCGUGCGAAGGUAGCGUAAUCACUUGUUCUUUAAAUGAGGACUAGUAUGAAUGGCAUCACGAGGGUUGCACUGUCUCCUCUUUCUAAUCAGUUAAACUAAUCCCUCCGUGAAGAAGCGGAGAUAUAUAUAUAAGACGAGAAGACCCUAUGGAGCUUUAAACAAAACAGCAUUUGCUAUUACACAUAUGAAUCUCAGGAAACUAAUUUUUAUUUUAGCAUUCUGGCUGUCAGUUUUAGGUUGGGGCGACCGCGGAGUAAAAUAUAACCUCCACGCUGAAAAGGACAUUCCUUAAGCAAAAAGUUACAACUUUAUGCAUCAAUAAAUUGACAUUAAUUGACCCAAUAUUUUGAUCAACGAACCAAGUUACCCUAGGGAUAACAGCGCAAUCCACUUCGAGAGCCCUUAUCGACAAGUGGGUUUACG